AGAGAAAGACGACUAUAAGGUAAUUUACUAUAAAAUAGAAUCGACUUGAUUUUAUUCUCUUGCUGUUAAUUUAAUUUAUAAAAUAAUUAAGUAGAGUCUCAUAGCUCAGCUGGUUAGAGCGCUACACUGAUAAUGUAGAGGUCGGCAGUUCGAGUCUGCCUGAGACUACUAAUUAAAGGAAAUUCUAGAAGUUGGGAUUCAAAUUCAGAAUUCUAGAGAACUAGGAUUUAAGGAAUGGGGAAUUAGCUCAGCUGGCUAGAGCGCCUGCCUUGCACGCAGGAGGUCACCGGUUCGACUCCGGUAUUCUCCACUAUCAACGUUAAGUUGAAAACGUUCAUUGACAUAUUGAAAAAGAUACAUGAAAAAAGUUAAAUAUUUAUACUUAGGUAUUUAACAAGAAUCAAUAUUUAUUGUAACGAGCAAUAAAUGUAACUCAUUAAAAAGACAAAAAGUA
Molecule: transfer RNA, 454 nt
Filed under: uncultured Flavobacteriaceae bacterium
Lineage: Bacteria; Pseudomonadati; Bacteroidota; Flavobacteriia; Flavobacteriales; Flavobacteriaceae
Description: 16S-23S ribosomal RNA intergenic spacer
Rfam family: tRNA (bases 95-168)
Source: RNAcentral